This 575-nucleotide ribosomal RNA is filed under the name Colletotrichum sp. 109AC/S. Its description in RNAcentral is "eukaryotic LSU rRNA". The stretch from base 202 to 355 matches the Rfam family "5.8S ribosomal RNA". Lineage: Eukaryota; Fungi; Ascomycota; Sordariomycetes; Glomerellales; Glomerellaceae. The record is from RNAcentral.
CGUAGGGGGAACCUGCGGAGGGAUCAUUACUGAGUUUACGCUCUAUAACCCUUUGUGAACAUACCUAUAACUGUUGCUUCGGCGGGUAGGGUCUCCGUGACCCUCCCGGCCUCCCGCCCCCGGGCGGGUCGGCGCCCGCCGGAGGAUAACCAAACUCUGAUUUAACGACGUUUCUUCUGAGUGGUACAAGCAAAUAAUCAAAACUUUUAACAACGGAUCUCUUGGUUCUGGCAUCGAUGAAGAACGCAGCGAAAUGCGAUAAGUAAUGUGAAUUGCAGAAUUCAGUGAAUCAUCGAAUCUUUGAACGCACAUUGCGCCCGCCAGCAUUCUGGCGGGCAUGCCUGUUCGAGCGUCAUUUCAACCCUCAAGCUCUGCUUGGUGUUGGGGCCCUACAGCUGAUGUAGGCCCUCAAAGGUAGUGGCGGACCCUCCCGGAGCCUCCUUUGCGUAGUAACUUUACGUCUCGCACUGGGAUCCGGAGGGACUCUUGCCGUAAAACCCCCAAUUCUCCAAAGGUUGACCUCGGAUCAGGUAGGAAUACCCGCUGAACUUAAGCAUAUCAAUAAGGCGGAGGAA